This 492-nucleotide long non-coding RNA is filed under the name Homo sapiens (human). RNAcentral describes it as "LNC_000503". Lineage: Eukaryota; Metazoa; Chordata; Mammalia; Primates; Hominidae. The record is from RNAcentral.
UGCGAGGUGGGCAACUUACUUCCUUUUUGGGCUCCACACUUUGAUUACGUCGUCCUUUCUUUGCUCUUGGUUCUUGAGUGACCUUUAGCUGCUCAUUACUGGUGGAGGAGAUACUGGAUUCUGCCUCUUCCUCACCUCGGUCCUCAUUCUUAGAUUUCCAAAAUCUCCCUUCUCGUAGGAAACGCUGAUGCAGCUCCAGCUCAUCACAGGCCUUUUUCCAACCCAUACUGCGCUUCACGUGCAGCCGAUGAAUGUUGACUGUGAUAUCUUGAAUGUUUUCAGAAGGAAUCCAGGCCCUAGGAAAAACACAUAAAGGUAUAGUUAGAAACAUCCCAAAUGGCAGGAAGGGUGGUAAAAGAGGGCUUCAGUGGACCCUGCCUGCCAUAAAGUGCGACCUGUGGCAGUUCUCGUCUGUUAGCUUGGUGCAAAAGCAAUUGUGGGUUCUGCCGUUACUUUUAAUUGCGAAAACCACAAUCACUUAGGCUUCGUCAU